This 570-nucleotide ribosomal RNA is filed under the name Listeria monocytogenes. RNAcentral's name for it is "bacterial SSU rRNA". It matches the Rfam family "Bacterial small subunit ribosomal RNA", at positions 847 to 1419 of the family's 1533-position model. The record is from RNAcentral. Lineage: Bacteria; Bacillati; Bacillota; Bacilli; Caryophanales; Listeriaceae.
UGCAGCUAACGCAUUAAGCACUCCGCCUGGGGAGUACGACCGCAAGGUUGAAACUCAAAGGAAUUGACGGGGGCCCGCACAAGCGGUGGAGCAUGUGGUUUAAUUCGAAGCAACGCGAAGAACCUUACCAGGUCUUGACAUCCUUUGACCACUCUGGAGACAGAGCUUUCCCUUCGGGGACAAAGUGACAGGUGGUGCAUGGUUGUCGUCAGCUCGUGUCGUGAGAUGUUGGGUUAAGUCCCGCAACGAGCGCAACCCUUGAUUUUAGUUGCCAGCAUUUAGUUGGGCACUCUAAAGUGACUGCCGGUGCAAGCCGGAGGAAGGUGGGGAUGACGUCAAAUCAUCAUGCCCCUUAUGACCUGGGCUACACACGUGCUACAAUGGAUAGUACAAAGGGUCGCGAAGCCGCGAGGUGGAGCUAAUCCCAUAAAACUAUUCUCAGUUCGGAUUGUAGGCUGCAACUCGCCUACAUGAAGCCGGAAUCGCUAGUAAUCGUGGAUCAGCAUGCCACGGUGAAUACGUUCCCGGGCCUUGUACACACCGCCCGUCACACCACGAGAGUUUGUAACA